RNAcentral lists this ribosomal RNA (256 nucleotides) under uncultured bacterium. RNAcentral's name for it is "partial 16S ribosomal RNA". It matches the Rfam family "Bacterial small subunit ribosomal RNA", at positions 524 to 779 of the family's 1533-position model. The record is from RNAcentral.
UACGUAGGUGGCAAGCGUUGUCCGGAAUUAUUGGGCGUAAAGCGCGCGCAGGCGGUCUUUUAAGUCUGAUGUGAAAGCCCACGGCUCAACCGUGGAGGGUCAUUGGAAACUGGGGGACUUGAGUGCAGAAGAGGAAAGUGGAAUUCCAAGUGUAGCGGUGAAAUGCGUAGAGAUUUGGAGGAACACCAGUGGCGAAGGCGACUUUCUGGUCUGUAACUGACGCUGAGGCGCGAAAGCGUAGGGAGCAAACGAGGAA